GAAAUGCGAUAAGUAAUGUGAAUUGCAGAAUUCAGUGAAUCAUCGAAUCGUUGAACGCACCUUGCGCUCCUUGGUAUUCCUUGGAGCAUGCCUGUUUGAGUAUCAUGAAAUCUUCAAAGUAAAUCUUUUGUUAACUCAAUUGGUUUCUACUUUGGUAUUGGAGGUCUUUGCAGCUUCACACCUGCUCCUCUUUGUUCAUUAGCUGGAUCUCAGUGUUAUGCUUGGUUCCACUCGGCGUGAUAAGUUAUCUAUCGCUGAGGACACUGUAAAAGGUGGCCAAGGUAAAUGCAGAUGAACCGCUUCUAAUAGUCCAUUGACUUGGACAAUACUUUUAUGAUCUGAUCUCAAAUCAGGUAGGACUACCCGCUGAACUUAAGC
This 378-nucleotide unclassified non-coding RNA is filed under the name plant metagenome. RNAcentral's name for it is "partial contains 5.8S ribosomal RNA, internal transcribed spacer 2, and large subunit ribosomal RNA". The stretch from base 1 to 105 matches the Rfam family "5.8S ribosomal RNA", at positions 50 to 154 of the family's 154-position model. The record is from RNAcentral.